UAAGGAAUAUUGGUCAAUGGAGGCAACUCUGAACCAGCCAUGCCGCGUGCAGGAAGAAGGCCCUAUGGGUCGUAAACUGCUUUUGAACAAGAGAAAACCCCGGUACGUGUACUGGGUUGAUAGUAUUGUUAGAAUAAGCAUCGGCUAACUUCGUGCCAGCAGCCGCGGUAAGACGAAUGAUGCAAGCGUUAUCCGGAUUCAUUGGGUUUAAAGGGUGCGUAGGCGGACUGAUAAGUCAGUGGUGAAAUCUCUCGGCUUAACCGNGAAACUGCCAUUGAUACUGUUAGUCUAGAGUACAGAUGAUGUGGGCGGAAUAUGACAUGUAGUGGUGAAAUACUUAGAUAUGUCAUAGAACACCGAUUGCGAAGGCAGCUCACAAAACUGUAACUGACGCUGAGGCACGAAAGUGCGGGGAUCAAACAGGAUUAGAUACCCAAGUAGUCCCUGAGCGGGCUGGCAAGGCGCAU
Molecule: ribosomal RNA, 467 nt
Filed under: uncultured bacterium
Lineage: Bacteria
Description: bacterial SSU rRNA
Rfam family: Bacterial small subunit ribosomal RNA
Source: RNAcentral